AAUAUUGGUCAAUGGACGCAAGUCUGAACCAGCCAUGCCGCGUGCAGGAUGACGGCCCUAUGGGUUGUAAACUGCUUUUAUUAAGGAAUAAACCCCCGGUCGUGUAUCGGGGCUGAACGUACUUAAAGAAUAAGCAUCGGCUAACUCCGUGCCAGCAGCCGCGGUAAUACGGAGGAUGCAAGCGUUAUCCGGAUUCAUGGGUUUAAAGGGUUCGCAGGCGGCGCAUUAAGUCAGUGGUGAAAUCCCUCGGCUCAACCGAGGAACUGCCAUUGAUACUGGUGUGCUAGAGUAUAGUUGGCGUAGGCGGAAUGUAUCAUGUAGCGGUGAAAUGCUUAGAUAUGAUACAGAACACCGAUCGCGAAGGCAGCUUACGAAACUAUAACUGACGCUCAGGAACGAAAGCGUGGGGAGCGAACAGGAUUAGAUACCCUGGUAGUCCACGCUGUA
RNAcentral lists this ribosomal RNA (447 nucleotides) under uncultured marine bacterium. Its description in RNAcentral is "bacterial SSU rRNA". It matches the Rfam family "Bacterial small subunit ribosomal RNA", at positions 360 to 804 of the family's 1533-position model. The record is from RNAcentral.